This 441-nucleotide ribosomal RNA is filed under the name uncultured bacterium. RNAcentral describes it as "partial 16S ribosomal RNA". It matches the Rfam family "Bacterial small subunit ribosomal RNA", at positions 338 to 795 of the family's 1533-position model. The record is from RNAcentral.
CCUACGGGAGGCAGCAGUGGGGGAUAUUGCUCAAUGGGGGGAACCCUGAUGCAGCGACGCCGCGUGGGUGAAGGAGUGCUUCGGCAUGUAAAGCCCCAUCUGCAGGGAAGAAGCAAGACGGUACCUGACUAAGAAGCCCCGGCUAACUACGUGCCAGCAGCCGCGGUAAUACGUAGGGGGCGAGCGUUAUCCGGAUUCACUGGGUGUAAAGGGAGCGUAGACGGUCAUGCAAGCCAGGGGUGAAAGCCCGGGGCCCAACCCCGGGACUGCCGUUGAAACUGUGCGGCUAGAGUGCGGGAGGGGCAGGCGGAAUGCGUGGUGUAGCGGUGAAAUGCGUAGAUAUCAGGAGGAACACCGACGGCGAAGGCGGCCUGCUGGACUGCGACUGACGUUGAGGCUCGAAAGCGUGGGGAGCGAACAGGAUUAGAUACCCCUGUAGUC